GAUGAACGCUGGCGGCGUGCCUAAUACAUGCAAGUCGAGCGAACAGAUGAGGAGCUUGCUCCUCUGACGUUAGCGGCGGACGGGUGAGUAACACGUGGAUAACCUACCUAUAAGACUGGGAUAACUUCGGGAAACCGGAGCUAAUACCGGAUAAUAUAUUGAACCGCAUGGUUCUAUAGUGAAAGACGGUUUUGCUGUCACUUAUAGAUGGAUCCGCGCCGCAUUAGCUAGUUGGUAAGGUAACGGCUUACCAAGGCAACGAUGCGUAGCCGACCUGAGAGGGUGAUCGGCCACACUGGAACUGAGAAACGGUCCAGACUCCUACGGGAGGAAGCAGCAGGGACUCUUCCGCAAUGGGCGAAAGCGUGACGGAGCAACGCCGCGUGAGUGAUGAAGGUCUUAGGAUCGUAAAACUCUGUUAUUCGGGAAGUACAAAUGUGUAAGUAACUAUGCACGUCUUGACGGUACCUAAUCAGAAAGCCACGGCUAACUACGUG
RNAcentral lists this ribosomal RNA (497 nucleotides) under uncultured bacterium. RNAcentral's name for it is "partial 16S ribosomal RNA". It matches the Rfam family "Bacterial small subunit ribosomal RNA", at positions 28 to 507 of the family's 1533-position model. The record is from RNAcentral.